CUUGACAAAAAUCGACAGCUGAUAACCUAUUCUCGAGCCUUUGUGGAGGGAACUAAAAAGAAAUCCAAUAAUUCAGCAGGAGAUGAAGAUCCUAAAAGACGAACAAAUCAAAUAAAAAGAAAUGACCUCCUUUUGAGCAAUGAACGAGGGUAAUGGCUUAACGUUAACUUUCUGCUUCUUCACAAAAGAAAGUAAACGUCUAUCUACUUCCAAUAGGGAAAGAAAUCAGUAGUUGGUUAUUGCGAUAAAGAAACACUAUGUUAUUGCAAAAGAAACAGCAAUUUGUUUCUACAGGUUGCAAGCAAUUCGCAGACUGACUGUAUCGGCCUAUAAUAUUAUUUAAAUAGUGCAGUUGUAAAGUGGGAGAUUAACAAGAGAUACUGAAUUCGAGUGGUACGAUAUAUCGGUUUCCGACUGGGGCAUCUAACUACUAUUCCACCUACUCCAGCGGCGAGCAAUACUGGAUGGCUCUGAGCCUUCGACGGGGCUGCGCUAUUUAGGUAAGUGGGGUGAAAGGCCGAAAUGGGGGCCAAAAGACUUUCAAGUGGCGUAUAAGGGAAACGAGCAAGACUUUUGGAAGCUUUAAGGUCCCAAGUGGGAUGAAGGUGAAGGCGAGGCGUCUUCUCUUGAAGCCAAGGUUUCCCAGUAAAAAGAAAGUGGGAUGCCAUCUAAUCCCUAUGUCACUUUUACGCUGACAAAAUAAUCGUGAUAUACGUUAAACAAGAGGAAAGGAGAGACUAGCAAAAGAAGUGUUUUGUCAUUCAAGCGACGAUCCUUCAUAC
This is a non-coding RNA of Schizosaccharomyces pombe (fission yeast), 782 nucleotides long. The record is from the annotation of a GenBank genome assembly. Lineage: Eukaryota; Fungi; Ascomycota; Schizosaccharomycetes; Schizosaccharomycetales; Schizosaccharomycetaceae.